CGCACAACCUCAUUGGGCUGUAUAACUUCAGUUACAAAUAGUACUGCAUUUCAGUGCCUUUUAGAGAGGUGAGAUCUCUCAGAAGUAUCUAUUGCUCUUUGCUGUUCCUCUCUGAUUUGAGACGGAAAAGCAGAAAGGAAAAAAGACAAGAGUUAUAGUCCUUCAGCAAGAGAUUCUUUGAUAUAACUGAAUGCUUUAGAAUCCUUUGAGUGAAGAUCUGGUUAAGUUUGCCUUGUUUAAUUUGACCUGUAUUUUAUUUCCUGAGACCUCUAUUUGUUGCAGUUGAUUGGACAGCAGAACAUUCUGUCUAGUGAAUAACUGGCUGAGGCUGGUCUGUGUUGUACAGAGAUAGCCAGUUUUGGUGAAUUUCAGUGUUCUCUGGAUUAAAGGAACCUGCUCUCCAAAUUAAGAAGUCACAUGUUCUGAAGUGAUUAUAAACUAAAAGAGCUUCUAAGUGCUCUGGCUAUUUGAGAAUGGAAGAGAAAAUAUUUUGCCCAGAUGGAGAGAUGAGAACCAGUAGACAUGCAGUUGGAAGGAGAGUAGUAUCCUGAGAUGCAUAUGUUCUUGACUGGACUCUUAAUAUUGAACUGAAAAAGAAAGAAAUUUGAAAGGAAGGAAAUAUAUACUUUGCCACCUUACUGAGAAGACACAGGACCUCAUCUGAUGCAUGUGGCUAACUCCAAGAUGACUGGAGACUGAAGAUGAGUGGAGGAUGGACUAACAUGGGUAGAGAUGAGAAAGGAGGUCAACCAGGUGUCUAUUACAACAGUUGGGACAGGAAGUGAUGGGGACUUGUACCAGGAUAACAGUUACUUGAAGGGAAAGAAAAAGACAUAUGCAAGAAUGAUCGAAAAGGUCCCCUGCCACAUGGAGGCUGAAGGAAAGAACACCCCAGUUUUUACCAGUUGGUUUGUGAAUCUGAAGACACAGAGGCAGCAACUAGCAGCCUGGCACCUGGGGCUGGGGCUGGAUGAGAGAUUGGGUCUGGCCAGGGCCAGACAUACCUUAUUCUUGGUGAUGCAAUUUGGGAAUUUCUUGGUGAAGAUGCUGGAGUUUGCCAUUUCCUUGCCCAGCUUAUAUUACAGAUGA
This 1089-nucleotide long non-coding RNA is filed under the name Monodelphis domestica (gray short-tailed opossum). RNAcentral's name for it is "lncRNA (ENSMODG00000051410.1)". Lineage: Eukaryota; Metazoa; Chordata; Mammalia; Didelphimorphia; Didelphidae. The record is from RNAcentral.